This 580-nucleotide long non-coding RNA is filed under the name Dasypus novemcinctus (nine-banded armadillo). RNAcentral describes it as "lncRNA (ENSDNOG00000050361.1)". The record is from RNAcentral. Lineage: Eukaryota; Metazoa; Chordata; Mammalia; Cingulata; Dasypodidae.
AUGGUAAAAAAAAAAUAUGGGUCAAUUUUCACUGAAGUGGGAUGGAUUUAUGUAUUCACCUCUCAUCAGUGUCAAAAGGAAUUGUGCACAUCAUUCCCUGGACAACAGGAUGAAAACUUGUCUCUGGACACUAGGGAUAUCAGCUGUACACACAAGAUAAGUGUAAAGUUGAAAAGAGAAAUACACUUAGUAAUUCAUCCAAGCAAGCAUAUUUUAACAAUUUGAAACUUGCAUAAAAAUGUUCAUGAAAUUAUUUACUUCCUUAUAGAAGAAAACUAAUAUUAGCAUUUUAAAAUCAAGUGCAAGUUAUCGCCACAAAAAAUUGCUUUGCAGAGACUGCUAAUGGAAAACUUUCUAAAUUGUCCAUCCUUUUCUAAUAAAAAUAGAGCAAAAUCAAUAAAAUGACCAUUCUUUACCACUUACUUGGAAUGAAUUUUUAUUUGUCCAAUGUAAGAGACAGUGGCUAUUUUUUUUUUUAAGAUUUAUUUAUUUUUAUUUAUUUCUCUCCCUUUCCCCUCCCCUCCCCCCCACUCCCCACUCCCCCAGUUGUCUGCUCUGUGUCCAUUCGCUGUGUGUUCUU